Rhagoletis pomonella (apple maggot) is the source of this 281-nucleotide long non-coding RNA. RefSeq lists it as uncharacterized. The record is from RefSeq and is a predicted model, not a curated record. The transcript is spliced from 2 exons. Lineage: Eukaryota; Metazoa; Arthropoda; Insecta; Diptera; Tephritidae.
AAGAAUUUUUGCUGGUAAAAUCUGAUGAAAUGUCAAACCAUCAACUGUUCUGUGUUGUCAAAGCAAAUUGAAUGUUGAGUAAAGAAAAAGCAAACGCACCCCUGCCUUUCCAUCUUAUUAAAGAUCUCGGGAGGAAGAAUUGUCAAACUUGCUUGGACGUUGGAUGGCAAAAUCAUCUAGACGGCUUGGCUUGGCUAGUUGGAGCUAGCGUUUGGGGUUGUUGUUGGCUGCUUUCGCAACGUUGUUUUCUGUUUUUGUUUUUUACCGGCAAAAUGCCAUGA